UAGAAUAUUGAUUGCAGUGCCCAUGUCUUUAGUGGAAUUAACUCAUUACUCUGUCAGAAUUCUUUGGAUAAAGCCAAUAUAUAUAGCUUGCUCAUGUGCCCCAACAUGGAAACCAUAACUGAUCUUGUAUUAAUCUUUGGCCUCGCUGAACAUUCUCCGUCAUCGUGAUUUGUUAGAUUUUACAAUUCACUAGCUGUUAUUAUUGUAAUUUUAAUGCAGGCAAUUAUCGCAGGAGCAACUGCCCCACAGUCGAAAUGGGACGAAGAUGGUGUAAAGCUUCGGUCUGCUGUUAUUUCACUGACAGUUCUGUAGGAAUCUGCUCGGCGUCUGAUUUUCCAGGUUCAUAAAUCGAGUGCUUUGGAAAACAAGUCAGAUGGCUUAUUAUGAACAACAUUCUUGAAAGUAUUGCACGAUAGACGUGUAGAGAGACCUAAGAUCAAUGAUAUAUCAGCUUCUCUGACUUACAGGCUUCUUUUUCUUGGGUUUAUAAUCUAAACUCCUGUAACAUGACAAUUCCAGCUGAUACUCUGUCAUGCUAAGAUCUAAACCGCAUACUAGUUAGUUCAUCCUUCCAAGUUAUGUGAUGGUCAUGUCUUGGCAUCUUCAGGGCUCAGAACUCAUGUUUUAUUAUCUUAAUCCUGAUACAAAUUGAAACCUAAGAGUCUAAAUAAGCUACUCUUUUAUGUUUUUCCUAUCUUUCAGCUGUCCUGGCAUUCUUCUUAUCGCUACACUGUGUUGAUGCAGUAGAACCUGUUGCAUAGUGGAUUGAGGAGGCAUUCUAAACAAGCCACGAGCACAGAGAUUCACUUUCAUGCAAUCCAUUAUUUGUUCUGAUGUAAAGGUCAGCUAUC
This 851-nucleotide long non-coding RNA is filed under the name Populus trichocarpa (black cottonwood). RNAcentral describes it as "long non-coding RNA (PTRI_LNC003009)". The record is from RNAcentral. Lineage: Eukaryota; Viridiplantae; Streptophyta; Magnoliopsida; Malpighiales; Salicaceae.